This 698-nucleotide unclassified non-coding RNA is filed under the name Hevea brasiliensis (rubber tree). Lineage: Eukaryota; Viridiplantae; Streptophyta; Magnoliopsida; Malpighiales; Euphorbiaceae. The record is from RNAcentral.
CGAAAUGUUAAUGCCCAAAAAAAAUCAGCAGCACAUUGCGAAAUCAAAACAAACAAAACAAGCACAAACAAAAUGUAAACCACGAUUCCAUUCAAGUUUCAUAUUUGAUACCUGAGAUUUGCAGAGACAGAGAGUGCGAAUCGUUAUCAAGCGCGUCAAAAACCAAAAACUAAUCCAACAAGAAAUGGUUUCUUUCGGCAGAUUUAGACAAAUAACGGAAAUGAAAAAUUUUGGGGAUUUUCUAUCUUGAAACAAUCGAUUUAAUCGAUUCACAGCCAAUGGGUUUCGGAAAUAUUUAAGAACGAUGAAGGGAGACAAUGGUUUGAAAGGUUGCGAAUGAAAUGGGUUUGCAAAUGGAGAGAAAAUACAUCUGUUCGGGUUUUGGUAGGUGAUGCGACGGAAAGAAGGAGUUUUGAAUUUUAAAACUGAAAAGACACAAUUGGAGACAUUUGCAGAGAAUGGGUACCGUGUAUCAGUGGAGUUGCAGAGAAAAGAUUGAUGGUUCCAAAAAAAAUUUGAGUCCCGCGCUAAUUAAAUGUGUCAAAAGUCCAUUUUGCCCUUAAAUCACAUAAAGAUGCAAUGCUCUAAAUAGAGGGGUAAUUAAGUAAUAUGGGCUUUAAACAUGCAGAAUAGGCGCUUCGAGAAAAAUAAUUUUAGAGUUUUAGAGCAAUCAGACCUGACUUCCAGUUUGCCAACGA